Astyanax mexicanus (Mexican tetra) is the source of this 573-nucleotide long non-coding RNA. RefSeq lists it as uncharacterized. The record is from RefSeq and is a predicted model, not a curated record. The transcript has 4 exons. Lineage: Eukaryota; Metazoa; Chordata; Actinopteri; Characiformes; Acestrorhamphidae.
UUUAACUCCACUAAAAUACUCUACAGUAGGUCUUUACUAGUUCUGUUCGCUGUACAGUUUAAACACUGAGUUCUAUAUUACCCGCGGUGAGUUAAAUUACUGCAGAGAGCUGCUGAGAGUUUAGGAGAGCUACUCCACAAGAUGGCAACAUAGACACAAAUUACAUGGACAGACGAAAUUAGUGCUUCAGGGCACUGACUCCGGUGGAAGUUGUUUGGUGUUAAUAUGGCAUCCAUCCUGAUCUUCGUCCUUUUGGUCUUCUUCCCAGUCUUUUCUCCUACAGAAAAAAGUCCUCUCAGGACUUUCCAUCUCAUUGAGAAGAAUAUGACUCAGUCUGAAGCUCGAGCAGCUUGUAGAGAGAACUACACUGAUCUGGUCACUGUGUGCAGUGAAGAAGAGAACGCUGCACUGAUUAAUCUGAUCAACAGUAAGGCCUGGAUUGGUCUUCAGCGCAGUAAUAACAGUUCUAAAUGGUCUAAUGGUGAUGAAGUUACAUUCAGUAAUAAUGUGACUGUGACUGGAAGCUGUGGGACGAAGCCCUGCUGUGCUGCUAUGAAGACUGAUAGACCAUGG